This 406-nucleotide ribosomal RNA is filed under the name uncultured bacterium. RNAcentral's name for it is "partial 16S ribosomal RNA". It matches the Rfam family "Bacterial small subunit ribosomal RNA", at positions 30 to 526 of the family's 1533-position model. The record is from RNAcentral.
AUUGAACGCUGGCGGCAGGCCUAACACAUGCAAGUCGAACGAGCGGCGGACGGGUGAGUAAUGUCUGGGAAUCUGCCCGAUGGAGGGGGAUAACUACUGGAAACGGUAGCUAAUACCGCAUACUAUCGGAUGUGCCCAGAUGGGAUUAGCUAGUAGGUGGGGUAAAGGCUCACCUAGGCGACGAUCACUAGCUGGUCUGAGAGGAUGACCAGCCACACUGGGACUGAGACACGGCCCAGACUCCUACGGGAGGCAGCAGUGGGGAAUAUUGCACAAUGGGCGCAAGCCUGAUGCAGCCAUGCCGCGUGUAUGAAGAAGGCCUUCGGGUUGUAAAGUACUUUCAGCGGGGAGGCGUUACCCGCAGAAGAAGCACCGGCUAACUCCGUGCCAGCAGCCGCGGUAAUAC